Molecule: ribosomal RNA, 776 nt
Filed under: uncultured Neocallimastigales
Lineage: Eukaryota; Fungi; Neocallimastigomycota; Neocallimastigomycetes; Neocallimastigales
Description: partial large subunit ribosomal RNA
Rfam family: Eukaryotic large subunit ribosomal RNA
Source: RNAcentral
UAUGUGAUCGUCUCUCGCAUAUCAAUAAGCGGAGGAAAAGAAACUAACAAGGAUUCCCCUAGUAACGGCGAGUGAAGCGGGAAGAGCUCAAAUUUGAAAUCUUAAAGGGUUUCCCUUUACGAAUUGUAGUUUAAAGAAGUGUUUUCUGUUGAGGUUUUGGUAAAAGUUCUUUGGAAUAGGACAUCAUAGAGGGUGAGAAUCCCGUAUUUGACCUUUACUUUCAACUUUGUGAUACACUUUCAAAGAGUCGGAUUGUUUGGGAAUGCAGUCCAAAAUGGGUGGUAAAUUUCAUCUAAAGCUAAAUAUUGGCGAGAGACCGAUAGCGAACAAGUACCGUGAGGGAAAGAUGAAAAGAACUUUGAAAAGAGAGUUAAACAGUACGUGAAAUUGUCAAAAGGGAAGCGUUUGACACCAGUGUUGUUUUUCUGAAAAUCAAUUAAAGAACUGUUUAUGCUAAGCUUGUUUAGACUUUAUCAGCUAACUGUUUAGUUUUGAGCUUUUCUUUAAUGCACUUUUCAGUUAACAAGUCAACAUCAAUUUCUUUUGCUGUAAAAAAGCUUGAGGAAGGUGGCUUGAGAUUCGUCUUAAGUGUUUCAUAGCCUCUUGCCUAUGCAGUCGGAGAGAUUGAGGUCUGCAGCGUAGAUCCUUCGGGGCUAAAUGCAUUUGUGCUAAGUUAUAGCAUUUUAUAGACAACUUGUUGACUAUGAUUUGUCUUGUAGCUUACUCGCUUAUGUUAUUUUACCUACGCUUAGGAUGUUGAACGCGCACAGAGUCUC